RNAcentral lists this ribosomal RNA (559 nucleotides) under Salmonella enterica. Its description in RNAcentral is "partial 23S ribosomal RNA". It matches the Rfam family "Bacterial large subunit ribosomal RNA", at positions 630 to 1190 of the family's 2925-position model. Lineage: Bacteria; Pseudomonadati; Pseudomonadota; Gammaproteobacteria; Enterobacterales; Enterobacteriaceae. The record is from RNAcentral.
AUAUUCUGUAGCAAGGUUAACCGAAUAGGGGAGCCGGAGGGAAACCGAGUCUUAAUUGGGCGUUAAGUUGCAGGGUAUAGACCCGAAACCCGGUGAUCUAGCCAUGGGCAGGUUGAAGGUUGGGUAACACUAACUGGAGGACCGAACCGACUAAUGUUGAAAAAUUAGCGGAUGACCUGUGGCUGGGGGUGAAAGGCCAAUCAAACCGGGAGAUAGCUGGUUCUCCCCGAAAGCUAUUUAGGUAGCGCCUCGUGAAUUCAUCUCCGGGGGUAGAGCACUGUUUCGGCUAGGGGGCCAUCCCGGCUUACCAACCCGAUGCAAACUGCGAAUACCGGAGAAUGUUAUCACGGGAGACACACGGCGGGUGCUAACGUCCGUCGUGAAGAGGGAAACAACCCAGACCGCCAGCUAAGGUCCCAAAGUCAUGGUUAAGUGGGAAACGAUGUGGGAAGGCCCAGACAGCCAGGAUGUUGGCUUAGAAGCAGCCAUCAUUUAAAGAAAGCGUAAUAGCUCACUGGUCGAGUCGGCCUGCGCGGAAGAUGUAACGGGGCUAAACCAU